UGUGAUUUUCUUCUUCCUCUUCCUGUGUGUGUUCCCUUUGUUCCUGUUGUGCACAUGUUAUGCUGAGGUGUCCAUGCUGAGUUCUAUAAAGCAAACAAUAUACUGCUCACACAGAAGUUAGUGUGUCUGCCUCCUUUUACAAAGAAGCUGCACAAGCAGUUCAGAUCAGCACUCUGCUAACAGCUUAACCAGCACCACUGAAAUCUGAUCCUAAGAUCUUUGGAGAGACGAGGCAGAAGCCGAGCACAUGGUAAGAUGGCAGCUAGUCUGGAGUGCAGGUCAGGCAUAGCAAAGCUGAAUAACAGCACAUAUCAGCUAUGGAAAUUCAGUGUGAAAAUGCUUUUAUGUAAGGAUCACCUGUGGGAAGUACUCGGCACCGAGAGACCAGAAAAAAAUCCUAAAGACUGGGAUAAAAGAAACAGACAGAAUAGAGCAGUAAUUGACCUGCUGGUGGGAGAUGAUCAACUGAUUCACAUCAGGAUAGAAUCUACAGCACAAGUGUGGAGACACCAGGAUCACACUCAUGACUGAGAACAGUGGGAAAUUGGAACCUGCAAGAGUGAAAAUGCCAGCUUGGAGGAAAACUGCAUUAAGCACCCAAUCAUAACUACCAUUCAAGCAUCUGGUCUUCAGCUUCAUGCAGCAAGCUUUCCAUGCCUGUCCUUAAGAAGUGAUGUGACUCUGGACUAUUAUGGUUUUGAAGCACAGAUACAGCAUUUAGCAAGCUAGUGAUGCUUCUUCUGACUCUGGACAUACCAUAAAGCACAGAUACUGAUCUGGCCUUCAGCUCUAUUCAACAAGCACCAGGGUAGCCACCCAUGGUAGAAACGUGAACGAUGUCACAAGUAUAGACACAAUCUACAGUAUAAUCCACGUCUGUUUGAGGAGCUUGUCCUCCACUCCAUACAGCAUCACUGUGAUAGUCCAUGCAGAGAGAAAACCGUCAUAUCAAUACCAAUAUAUGAUAUUAUAAGUCACCGAGGAGGUCCAUGAACAUCUAAAAGCACAAGGCCGAACAAGAUCUUUUCUCAAGCGCCAUACAGCAAGCACUGUGGUAGCCCCCCAUGGCUGCCCCCAACAAUCUUGUGAUGUGAUUAAGCCUCUUCUGACUCUGGACUGACUAUAAAGUACAGAUACUGGAGUCCAAUCUUGUGUGCGAGAGAGAGAGACUCCCCAGACAGCCUGAAAUGCCCCCACUGUGACUUCUCAGGUUCGCAGAGAGAGGAACAUUGCUAGCACGUGGCUAUUCUCAGUUUAUUGUAUGGUUUCUUUGAUAUCUAUUUUACAUUGUUUUCUUUUCAACUAUUUAAGUUUAUACCCAUCAUUUGUAUUAUUCUUUGUUCUCUUUCUAGAUCUGGCAUUCAGCUCUAUUCAACAAGCACCACGGUAGCCACCCAUGGUAGAAACACACAAUGUCACAAAUAUAGACACAAUCUACAGUAUAAUCCACGUCUGUUUGAGAGUUAGUUGGUUCAUUUCUAAUCCAUGGAAAAGGCAUGAAAGAGCAAGAAUGGGUGGGGGCAAGGACAGUUUCAGGCCCUUUGCUGCCAUUAGAACUAUGCAGCUGACCCUAGGAAUGCCUCUAGUUGCACUUUUCCCCUUGUGUAUGUUAAUUGCAGAGCUUGUGUUUCAUACCUUUGCAUCCUUGGUUCAAUGACCCCAAAUGUUUUGUCGAACUGGAGAGAUCCUUCAAUGUAUGCCUGAAAGAGUCUCCACAGACAGCCUGGAAUUGCCUUACUGUGACUCUAGGUUUGGAUAGUGAGGGUCAUUUAUGCACAAUAUGAAGUAUUCUAAACAUUUUUUGUUAUUUAUAAGGAAUUAUAAACCCUUGAAACAAAUUGAUAUGAGAUUGCUCAGAGUGCUGUUUUAAGCACUCGUGUAAAUUGUAUUUUUUUUUUCUAGUUUUCAAGAUAUUACCAAUGUUUACACUACUAAUAUUAUAAGUUGGAAACGACAAUGCCACUGCUCAUUUUUGUUGCCUAGACACAGUCGGUAAAAAAUUAAGUUGCAGGAAAAAUGAUUCUUUUGAUGUUGCUCUGCUUAAAACUGAUGAGACCUAUCCAAUGACUCGUCUAUUUUCUGAGCAGAGCAUCAUCACAAGACAUUACAUUUUUCACUAACUUAAUUUUCUAACAACUGUGUCCAGUUGGCUAAAAUGAGCAAAUAUGAAAAAAUACUGAAUAUUUCAAAAGUGGUCAUAAUUGCAUUCUAAGCACUAUUACAUUUCCUCUAGAGCAGUACUCCCCAACCAGUGGCUGGUCAAGCAACAUGUUGCUCCUAAGGUGAGCAAGUGCUUCUAUUUAGAUUUCUGGCAAGGAUUGGUUGAAUAGAAACAAGAUGCAUUGCCAAACCUGUAGGUUGACAAUCCGCAUAGAGGCUACCAAAUAGCCAAUCACAGCCCUUAUUUGGCACCACCAGGAACUUUUUAUCAUGGUUGUGUUGCUCCUCAACUCUUUUACAUUGUGGAAGGGGACCCCUGCUCUAGAGGCUUUACUCACAGGCUUCAAUAUUAAUAUUCUAUAUUUCUUUUCUGUGUUUUUGAACUGGAGGCUUUUACUAUGACGCAUUCCUACUGCUCUUGGCCUUUCUUACUCUAGCCUGUGCCUUUCAAAUUAUUGAUGGACUGUUCUGUUUAUAAAGGACAGAUACUGAAAGGAAAACUGUUGAAUAUUUCAGAUGCAGACACUUAUUUGCCUUCAUUGUGGUGUGUUUAUGUCUAGUUUUCUGCACUGUCAUUUUCUGACUGCCCCUUUUUACCAUACUGGAGGAGUCCAAUCUUGUGUGCGAGAGAGAGCCUCCCCAGACAGCCUGAAAUGCCCCCACUGUGACUUCUCAGAGCUUGUCCUCAGCUCCAGCAUCACUGUGAUAGUCCAUGAUCUUGUCUGGCGAUACAGCAAGCACUGUGGUAGCCCCCCAUGGCUGUCCCAAACAAUCUUUUGAUGUGAUUAAGCCUCUUCUGACUCUGGACUGACUAUAAAGAAAAGUUACUGAGCUUGUCCUCCACUCCAUACAGCAUCACUGUGAUAGUCCAUGGCUGCCCCCAACAAUCUUGUGAUGUGAUUAAGCCUCUUCUGACUCUGGACUGACUAUAAAGUACAGAUACUGAUCUGGUCUUCAGCUCCAUGCAGCAAGCUUUCCAUGAUCUGAUCUUCAACUCUUUAUCGUACAAUAGUCACCCAUGGUAAAUAUAAAUGUCCUCUUUUUGCACAGGGUUGCUUGGUUAGUUUGCUUUUGUCACUGUAUUUAUGUAUUUACAAGCUUCUGAUCCUUCAUAUUUCAUUAUGCCAGGCAGGCUUAAACCACCAUUUUUGAUCUGGCCAUUUGUGAAGAUGUUAGAACACUCUGAUGCAGUUGCUUGGUUCAUAGUUUGAAACACUGGACCACACCAAGUGAGAUUAGAAAUCAAGCUGAUUGAGCCUGCAUUAAGAAACCUGACUGAGAAUAGACUGACCACGUUUGCAGCCAUUGUAACGCAUUGUAUUUGCUAAGUUUGUGUAAUUGUUACUUCAGGAAGAAAGCUUCAUCUUUCAGCUUGCGGUGGUAAUUGGCAUCAUCAACAAAACCUCUUUCUGAGAGCUACAAUGUUUAAUAAUGAACAUUUUGGCAGUUGUCCAUAACUACUAAUGGAUAUCUGUCCAGUUUAUCCUUCUUUUUUUAUAUUAUCUUCAUAAAGGUCGCUGCCUCAUCAGGUACUUCAGUGGUAUGUCAAUUAAUUAGUAAUGACUCCUUGAAGCAAACAUUGCUUUUACUCAAUGCAGUUUUUACUGUCUGUGAACCUGAAAACAUCUGAAUUAUUUGUGUCACAUAACAAGUAUGGUGCAGUAACCUUUCUUAGGAAAUAGAGAUGUUCAUUUGACAAUAGUUCCUUACCAUAACUUCUCUUUGGUUGUUUUUAAUCUUCAUCCCAUUGUUUUGGCCACCACAAGGUGGCAGCAUUUCUGCUGUAUCACAGCUUGUACAGCUCUUUACGGUAUGCUUUUUUUACCAUAAUAAGGUCUUGAUAUUGGGUCUGGAUUGAGAAUCAAAAUAGGCCCUGAUAAUUCAGGAACCAACAGGCCCCAGCAAGCCACACAGAGGCCCAAAUAGCCCCCAACCAGCCCACUAAAUACUGACUGCCUAUGGCAUUUUACAUCAGUCCCUCUGGCAUUUGCCACAACCCACAGAUUGCCUGUCCAGGCCUGCUUGAUAUGAAGGGCUUAUUGUUUUCCCUGAAAUAAGUGUGGGGUGGAACAUUAACACCAGACCCCAGCUUGCUUCAGUCAAUCACAAAUCACUGUCCCACUCUAUUUUGCUGGUGACAGUCUGGGCUUUUCACCCUGGCAUCACUGAAGUUGGCUGCAAUUAUUCAGAGAAGGCAUAAAUUCAGGAAGAUACCGUUGAAUUGCAGAGGUGAUUGCUGCAAGUAGCCCAAGUACAACAACAUUGCAGCCAUGCACAGCCUUUUGUUUGACAGUGACCCUUUUUACUUUUGUAUUUAAUGACAGUAUUUCAUUGCUGCAAAUAAAUUCUACCUUUCAUUGUCUAAAUAAAACCUUCUAGUUGAUCCAGAAAAAGGCAAAAAAAAAACACAAGUAAAUCCUCUCCAAGAAUGGCAAUUUGUACCAACAGCUAAUUUCAGUAACCCUUCUCACUUGCUAAAAAGCCAUCCAACCGUACUUGAAGCAAUCUGAUGUAUCACCAGUACAACUGAUUCAGGGAGAGAAUUCCGCAACUUCACAGCUCUCACUGUAAAAAAACCCUUUCUGAAUAUUUAGACAGAACCUACUUUCUUCUAAUAGGAAUGGAUGUCCUUUUGUCAGCAGGGAAGACCUGCUGGUAAAUAAAGCAUUAGAGAGAUUAUUAUAUGAUCCCCUUAUAUAUUUAUACAUAGUUAUCAUAUCUCCCCAUAAACUCCCACUUUAGUGUCAGCACAACUGGGCCCUUCACCUUUCCUUGAUGUCGGCCCUGUGUGUCAGGUGAUGGUUACCUUGAAAUACUUCCAUACCAGUUUCCAGGCAACAAUCCCUGACAAAAACUGGCACAAAUGCAUAUCAGAAGUCAGAGGUGGCUCUAGGUGCUUUGCUACCAUAUUGUUGCACACCAGUACUCUAUUAACUCAUCUCUAAUUUGUUUAGAAACAGUAUUAAAAGAUAUGCUUUCCCCGAUAUGCCAUUAACGAGCAUGGCUGUAUCGGGGGGUAAUCUGAUUGUUCAGCCGUAUGGCCGAACGAUUCGAUUACAAUGUGCAAUGGGCUCCGGCGGGAUCGGUCGAGUCAAAAUCAAACCUGACCAAAUGACCGAUCUCCGCCGGAUGAAAGCUGUCGGCACUCUCCACACACGAUCCGAAAAUCAUAUGAAUCCUCGAUUCAUACGAUUGGAUCUGUGUGUCUAUGGCCACCUUAAGUCUCUCAUUGUUAAUCCAACUUAACCACACUCAUGGCUUUAUAGGAAUAUGGUUGAUCAUUAUAUUUGAUGUGUUCUGACCAUUUUUAGAUGUUGGGAAUUGCUGCAAAGUUUUUGACACUCCCUGCAUAUAGUAUUCCUAGCGGUAUUAAAAUGUUAACCGCUUUUCAUGUAGCUUUAAAAUCCUGUCUUCUUUUUAAGGUAGGGCUGCUUCUAAACUGACUGUGGUUAUGAAAUUAGCUUCUCUUUGAGAAUAAUCUCUCCCCUGCAAAUUAUACAAAGACUGCUAUUGUUCCUCGUUGCCAGUAACAUUGUGUUUGCCAGAAAGGAGAAGUUGCAACCCAUUUUGAAAGUCCUAAAAUUACCUUUGCACCACAGAAAUGCACUGUGUUUCUUUUACUCUUCUGAGCUUGAUUGAUAAUGGGGCAUCAUCUGAGCAGAGAAUACUGUGUUGACAAUAUAUGUAUCAAAAAUGUGUUCCUAUUAAUAAAGCUGUUUUUAAAGCAAAA
Long non-coding RNA from Xenopus laevis (African clawed frog), 5890 nucleotides. RefSeq lists it as uncharacterized. The transcript is spliced from 18 exons. Lineage: Eukaryota; Metazoa; Chordata; Amphibia; Anura; Pipidae. The record is from RefSeq and is a predicted model, not a curated record.